Long non-coding RNA from Monopterus albus (swamp eel), 321 nucleotides. RefSeq lists it as uncharacterized. Lineage: Eukaryota; Metazoa; Chordata; Actinopteri; Synbranchiformes; Synbranchidae. The record is from RefSeq and is a predicted model, not a curated record. The transcript is spliced from 4 exons.
UCUUAUUCAAAAUAUCAGCAGGUUUUAUUGACAGCGGAAGUGAUGCCAGGAUUUAAUGACAUCAAAAACUAUGAGUUAACAACCGAGGGAGACCACAUGUGAAGUUAAUUCACUGCUCAGUGCCUAUAACGGUGGCAGUGGCCAGAGGAUCUGUUCUUGUUGGCUACACAAACAAGAUGCUCCAGAUGACCAACAAUAGGAAGCACAUGCUUUAUGUUUUCCCUCAAGAAAAACUACACUACACUCCUUUUAAGCUGUGGAUGGUACACCAACUUGGAACUUGAAGGCACGUGGCCCAGUGAAGAACAUGCAUAGACACAG